GGUGCUAUGGUGUAGUGGUAGCACUUGGGAUUUUGAUGCGUUGUUCAGCUGUUCGAAUUUCUUCCCACAACCCAGGUUCGAACCCUGGUAGUGCCU
This is a non-coding RNA of Guyanagaster necrorhizus, 96 nucleotides long. NCBI's taxonomy places the organism in Eukaryota, Fungi, Basidiomycota, Agaricomycetes, Agaricales, Physalacriaceae. The record is from the annotation of a RefSeq genome assembly.